UCUCAUGGAAUAAAAAAUACGUUAUAUUGGGUAACUUUGAAAACCUAGAAGAUUGUGUUUUGAUGAAAUAUAUGACUUGGCGAUAUAUUAGAAUCUGGUGAAUUGAAAUAUCCCGCCAGAAGUACCGUGAAGAUUUCUGAGGUAAUGUUAAUGUGCGAUCCAUUAAGCGUGUAACGUUGAGUUAACGAUUUAGAAAUGUCAGUGAGUAAUGUUAGUUUUGCAAUUAAUAUUCGGAUAAAAUAAAAAUGCCCUCAUUUGAAUCUCUUUACCGAUGCUAUGCGACAAAGCGAAACAUACCCAUAAUUAUAAUUCAUAAUUUGAUACACACUGAUGAAGUGUUCUAAAAUGUCCUGGUAGAAGGUCCACUGUGUCAAGCAGGACCAGCCCACACUACUAAAGGUACCAAAAGCUGGUUCAAUGACCAUUUGUGUUACUGUGCUCAAAGGAAAACUUCUCAGCUGUUCUGGUCACUUAGUUGUAUUGUUCAACAAUCUUAACAAUCAUUGAAUACUGAUAUGGUUGUCUUUUUUUUCAGAAUUCUUACAAACAAAUUGAUGUCAACAAUGAAUAUGGAUGGCUCAGGGCUGAAGAAGGCCUUUGGAAAACACGGCUAUGUCGUGUUAUAAUAGGUGCACUACAGCAGUCCAAACCUUCAUUAUCAGAGGCUGAAAUAAAAAAAUACAGCUAAAAAAUCUCCGGUCUGCUCCCGAUAGAUGUGGGGGUAUGGGACGACAAAAGGGGAAAUCUGCGAUUGAUGUGUGUUCAGAUUCUGAAUAAGUAGGCCUUAAGCCAAUUGUUAAAUUAUUUUUGUUCAUUUGGGAUAUGAUCUGGGAAAACCCAUCACAUGGUGAAAUAAAAAAUACUGGUUUUAGUAUCAUAUGAAAGCUAUUAAGCCCUUUCCAAAACUGUUUUUAUUUAAUUUACAAAUUGUUUUUAUGGAGUGGGUGGUCUAGUGGGUUAAACCACUGAACUGGUAAAUCAAAAGGUUGCUGGUUCUAUCCUAGUAGCCACCACCAGUGUGUUGCUCAAGGGGGAUUGUCCCUGUAAUAAGUGCACUGUAAGUCGCUUUGGAUAAAAGCAUCUGCUAAAUAACUACACGUAAAUGUAAAUGUUUUUAACAAAUGGAAAGGGCUUGAGAGCUUUCAUAUGAUAUCAAAACCUGUAAUAUGUACAAUUUUGUCAUGUGAUGGCUUUUUCCAGAUCACUUAAUAUUUAUAUAUUAAUUUAAAUGUUAAUAUUUAAUUUAAAUGUAAUUCAAGGAGGAUUUUAUAUUUAUUAGUGGUUUAAGAACAUUUUAAAUUUCUGGAAUUGUAGCUGAUUGUAUUUAAUAAAACAUGUCUUACAUUAA
Molecule: long non-coding RNA, 1348 nt
Organism: Triplophysa dalaica
Lineage: Eukaryota; Metazoa; Chordata; Actinopteri; Cypriniformes; Nemacheilidae
Exons: 2
Source: RefSeq, a predicted model, not a curated record